UAACCUCAGAAGUCACAUUCUAUAGAAUCCUCUUAGUAAAGGCAGGUCAGCCUUUUUUAGUGGGAGAGGGGUUACAGAAGUGCAGGAGUACCUGAAGGAAUCAGUGGAGGCGUCUGGGACGCUGGCCAUCACAGGGGUCUUCGGGAAGGCAAGGGAGUUUCACUGGAAAACCAUAGCCCAAGCCAAUAUUUUGAAUAUUGUCUGUCAGCUUUUUGGUUGCUGAAUCUCAGUCCUGGGAGUCAUUUCUUCAAAGACUAAACAACAAAUUUUUUUCUUGUUUGAGGAUGUUGGGAGCCUGGUGGUUUCUGAGCCAACAAGCACAUAUACAUAUGUGUGUGAAGCCUGGGAAUGAGACGGCAAGUUUUUGGUACCUUCAGGUGCCUCCAGACCCAGAGCAAAGUCUGAAAGCAGGAAUUAAAUCGUCUACAUGAUUGAAG
Molecule: long non-coding RNA, 437 nt
Filed under: Vulpes vulpes (red fox)
Lineage: Eukaryota; Metazoa; Chordata; Mammalia; Carnivora; Canidae
Description: lncRNA (ENSVVUG00000012137.1)
Source: RNAcentral